GUAGGGAAUCUUCCGCAAUGGACGAAAGUCUGACGGAGCAACGCCGCGUGAGUGAAGAAGGUUUUCGGAUCGUAAAGCUCUGUUGUUAAGGAAGAGCACCAUGGAUAGGAAAUGAUCGAUGGAUGACGGUACUUAACCAGAAAGCCACGGCUAACUACGUGCCAGCAGCCGCGGUAAUACGUAGGUGGCAAGCGUUAUCCGGAAUUAUUGGGCGUAAAGCGCGCGUAGGCGGUUUCUUAAGUCUGAUGUGAAAGCCCCCGGCUCAACCGGGGAGGGUCAUUGGAAGCUGGGGAACUUGAGUACAGAAGAGGAGAGUGGAAUUCCAUGUGUAGCGGUGAAAUGCGCAGAGAUAUGGAGGAACACCAGUGGCGAAGGCGGCUCUCUGGUCUGAAACUGACGCUGAGGUGCGAAAGCGUGGGGAUCAA
RNAcentral lists this ribosomal RNA (425 nucleotides) under uncultured Macrococcus sp. Its description in RNAcentral is "bacterial SSU rRNA". It matches the Rfam family "Bacterial small subunit ribosomal RNA", at positions 354 to 771 of the family's 1533-position model. The record is from RNAcentral. Lineage: Bacteria; Bacillati; Bacillota; Bacilli; Caryophanales; Staphylococcaceae.